This 208-nucleotide ribosomal RNA is filed under the name uncultured bacterium. RNAcentral's name for it is "partial 16S ribosomal RNA". It matches the Rfam family "Bacterial small subunit ribosomal RNA", at positions 335 to 560 of the family's 1533-position model. The record is from RNAcentral.
ACUCCUACGGGAGGCAGCAGUCGGGAAUUUUGCGCAAUGGACGAAAGUCUGACGCAGCAACGCCGCGUGAGGGAUGAAGGCCUUCGGGUUGUAAACCUCUUUUCUCAGGGACGAUAAUGACGGUACCUGAGGAAUAAGCCACGGCUAACUACGUGCCAGCAGCCGCGGUAAUACGUAGGAGGCGAGCGUUAUCCGGAUUUACUGGGCG